AAUCUACUCAUGUUUUUUGGAAAUCUUUCAUCCUCUCUGAAUUUAUUCCGUAAACGUUCUUAGCGAUCAUGUUAAGCUGCUAUUGUGACAUUAACAUUCCAAAAGUUUUCCCUUCGGAAAUUUUGGUCAGGGCCAAAUUUAGUUCCCAAGGGGGGCGAAUACACUAUGGAUUUAGGAGGUCGAGAUUCAUACACCCGGCACUAGGCCUACAGCUGUAUCCUGAGAAAGCAUUAGAACAAGAGCGGCAAAAGGUAAAAGUAAACCAGAACACAAGUAUAACAGGAGAAAAUGUGAGAUUUCAAUUUAAAACGUGACACCAGUUAAAAGCAUGGUUUUUACCAUUCCAAAAAUAUAUCACAUCCAGAGUCUUUUUUUACGGCAUUUUCGGAUGUGAAGCGUCAACCGGGGGCCGUUGGCAUGAGUUAAGACUUGGGGGUUAUGCAGGGAGCCGUCAAUAAGUUCCCCCGGGAGAGGAAAAUUCCAAAUAACUCCGACAUUUUCAUUUUUCAGGGGCUGUAUUUUGAAUGAAAAUUAUACGACUAAGUAUAUAUUAUUAGGCCUACUACGUUUUCAGAAGAUUCAUAGUAAGAAGUGCUUCUUUUUAUCCUCUUACAAGAGAAGCCUGCAGCAUCAGCAGCUGUUCUAAAGGCUAUCAUUGGUAGUAGGAGGCCUAAGUACUUCAGCCCCACCAAGGUUGGGGAACAAAUUUGAUUAUGACCCCUAUAGAUUGCCGGAAAUGUCACUCUCAUACUUAAAUUUGUAUAUAAUAUUCUUAUUUUCCCCGGUGUUUUUUUUUUUUUUUGUCUUAAUUUAGGAACAUUUAUGGUCCUGGCCACUGAAGAAAUGAAAUGAACACAGUGGCCUAAUCAAUAAUUAAGCUUAAUUAAUUUUUUUUCACCUAUUAGGUUGGAAAUUAUUUUAGAUUAUUGUUUUUAGGUAUAUUUUUUUCAAUGGGCCCCUAAUAGCCUUUUGGCCCACCAUAGUAGAAUGUUGUCAACCGAUGAGGGCGCUCAAUUGUAAACAGUAAACACACACUACUACAUGCUUGCAACAUCAGCGUGAGCUGACUGCAUUUCUAAGAGCGAGCUUGUUGUAGUACGUCGGAUUUUACUGUUCAGCAUCCUUUUAUAAAAACAGCUUGACUGAUUCAGUGGAGCAUUUGACGAGCAUGGAUGAGGUUAUAAGCUUGGAGGAAUGUUUGCAAACAUUGGCUCUAGAGGCUCGUGAAUUAUAUUUACGUGACUCUGUGCCUGUUCUCGACACUGAACCCUCUCCUCUUCAGUUCUACAAGGACUUCGUCUCCAGUAAUGCUCCGUUCAUUAUUAGGAAUUGUGUAAGCCACUGGCCAGCAUUGAGCAAGUGGAAUUACAAGUACCUUAAAGAGAAACUUGGAGAUCAAUCGGUUAGUGUUGCCGUGACACCAAAUGGAUACGCCGAUGCAAUCCAUGAUGGCUUUUUUGUGAUGCCCGAAGAGCGGCAAAUGAAAAUGGGGGAUUUUUUGGACACGCUUUCGAGUGAGCCGGUAUCUAAAGCUGUGUUUUAUCUUCAGAAGCAGAAUUCAAAUCUCACAACAGAGUUGUCCUGUCUGGUGGAUGAUGUGGAUGAGCACAUCUCCUGGGCUACAGAGGCCUUAGGCAAACUUCCUGAUGCUGUAAAUUUCUGGCUUGGGGAUAAGAGAGCAGUGACAUCUAUGCAUAAAGACCAUUAUGAGAACCUGUAUUGUGUCAUCUCAGGUGAAAAGCAUUUCACACUACUACCACCCACUGAAACGUAUUUCGUACCAUAUGGUGAUUUUCCAGCUGCUGUGUACAAAGAAAAUUCAGAAGGGGACUUUGACAUAAUCCCUCAACCGGAUAUAGGAACUGUCCCAUGGGUAACAGUCGACCCACUCUCACCAAAUCUGAAAAAGAACCCAGAGUUUGCCCAAGCUCGACCAAUUAAAUGCACUCUAAGAGCUGGUGACCUUUUAUAUCUACCUUCUCUCUGGUUUCACCACGUUCAUCAAUCGCACGGAUGCAUUGCUGUUAACUACUGGUAUGAUAUGGAAUUUGACAUCAAGUACAACUAUUUCAAAUUUACCGAGUCUAUUGGCGAUAUAUGCCGAUACCACCAUAAUGAAAAGAGGGGAAGAAAGAAAAAAGAAACGGAUUAGAACCAGGGGAUGAAGUGAAAGUCAGGGUUUUGUGCAAUUUCUGAUCACAAUAUGUUUAUUUUUUAAUAUGUUACUUCAUGUUAGGUUCAAAAUACUCUCUGUGCCUUGAGACGAUUUUAUUGUGGAACGCACUCUACAAAUAUUCUGCCAUUACCACCUAUACUGUAGUAUCUGCUGUACUUACUACUAUCCACAGGUUCACUUUUUUUGGAUUUUUGUUUCCAUGGAUAAUAAAAAAUAUAUAGAAAUUGUAUUGCAACUCUUGGUUGCCAUAUACGCUUGGAGUUCAUCAUUUUUUUUCAUCCAGAGGUAAACUAGAACAGAUUACAGCAAACAUCCCUUGAGUUCAUUUUCGCUUUGACUCGAUUAGCCUCAUUAUUUUACAUGUGCAGCUGCAAACAACAUUCCCUU
Molecule: RNA transcript, 2563 nt
Organism: Anneissia japonica
Lineage: Eukaryota; Metazoa; Echinodermata; Crinoidea; Comatulida; Comatulidae
Gene name: bifunctional peptidase and (3S)-lysyl hydroxylase Jmjd7-like
Exons: 9
Source: RefSeq, a predicted model, not a curated record